UACGGAGGGUCCGAGCGUUAUUCGGAAUUACUGGGCGUAAAGGGUCCGUAGGGGGACUUAUAAGUCAGAUGUGAAAUUCAUGGGCUCAACCCAUGACGUGCAUUUGAAACUGUAAGUCUAGAGAUUGGUAGAGGUAAGCGGAAUUUGUGGUGUAGCGGUGGAAUGCGUAGAUAUCACAAGGAAGGCCAAAGGCGAAAGCAGCUUACUGGGCCUAAUCUGACCCUGAGGGACGAAGGUCAAGGUAGCGAAAAGG
This 253-nucleotide ribosomal RNA is filed under the name uncultured bacterium. Its description in RNAcentral is "partial 16S ribosomal RNA". It matches the Rfam family "Bacterial small subunit ribosomal RNA", at positions 524 to 776 of the family's 1533-position model. The record is from RNAcentral.